UCAGUAAGGCGACUGAAGCGGGAAGAGCUCAUUCUGUGAAUCUCUGCCAGAGAGUUGUGGAGAGGUACUUGUCUUGGCCUUGCUUAAAUCUCUUGGAACAGGGUGCCUAUGAGGGUGAGAGCCCCGUAUAGCUUGGCUUUUAGUGUACUUCAUACGAGUCGAGUUGCUUGGGAUUGCAGCUCUAAUGGGUGGUAAACUCCAUCUAAAGCUAAAUAUGGCGUGAACGAUAGCAACAAGUACCGUGAGGGAAAGAUGCAAAGAACUUUGAAAAGAGAGUUAAAGAGUACCUGAAAUUGUUGAAAUGGAAGGAGAAAUCAGUGCUUUCAACUAUUUUUCCAGCCUUACUUGUGAGGUUGGCGCUGUGGUGCUGAAUAAGCCAGUGUGGGUUUAACCGGGGGAAGUGCUGUUUGUGCUCUGGUUAGACUGACACUGGCAAAAUGGUUUUACCCCGUCUUGAAACACGGACCAAGGAGUCUAACAUCUGUGCGAGUAUAUGAGUGGCAAACUCACAUGCAAAAUGAAAGUAACAGUGGUAGGAUCACUAUCCGCCGGCCACAAUCUUCGGAGAAAGGUCUGAGUGUGAGCAUACAUGUUGGGACCCGAAAG
RNAcentral lists this ribosomal RNA (606 nucleotides) under Chaetoceros tenuissimus. Its description in RNAcentral is "LSU rRNA". It matches the Rfam family "Eukaryotic large subunit ribosomal RNA", at positions 80 to 822 of the family's 3401-position model. Lineage: Eukaryota; Bacillariophyta; Thalassiosirophyceae; Chaetocerotales; Chaetocerotaceae. The record is from RNAcentral.